UUGAAUGAUGAAUCGCGGCACUGGGCUCCGACAUGUAUACAUGAGCAGACAACGCCUUCUGUGGCAGGCCUAGAAAACCUCGCCCACUGACU
Molecule: small nucleolar RNA, 92 nt
Filed under: Scedosporium apiospermum
Lineage: Eukaryota; Fungi; Ascomycota; Sordariomycetes; Microascales; Microascaceae
Description: A. fumigatus snoRNA Afu_513
Rfam family: A. fumigatus snoRNA Afu_513
Source: Rfam by way of RNAcentral